CAAAGAAUUUGAGAGUCUUUUAAACAUCGCACGUUGGUCGUGAUACACAGACUCGUCAAUCUAUACGUAGAAAAUGUGAGAGAAAUCUUAAGAAAAUGUCCUGGGGCGAAUGAAAAGUUGGGAAAAAUAUUCCUUGCCAAGUUCAUCUUGAAGCUAAAAAAAAUUAUCACAGACAACAAUGGACGAUAUGUCUUGAAAUCUUCAAUCAAGUUUUCAAACACUUCACGAAACACCUGUAUCAAGAGCAUAGCUUUUGAGGUGAGGGAUAGCAUGUAGAAAAAUGGAAAGAAGGUGACAAAAGGGAUAGAAGGUGGCAUCAGAUAAGUAUAUAAAAGAUGAUAAAGAGGAUGGAAGGUGGCAAAUGUGAUAGAAGAUGCAAAAGGGAAUGGAU
Xenia sp. Carnegie-2017 is the source of this 391-nucleotide long non-coding RNA. RefSeq lists it as uncharacterized. The transcript has 3 exons. NCBI's taxonomy places the organism in Eukaryota, Metazoa, Cnidaria, Anthozoa, Malacalcyonacea, Xeniidae. The record is from RefSeq and is a predicted model, not a curated record.